Long non-coding RNA from Oenanthe melanoleuca, 2662 nucleotides. RefSeq lists it as uncharacterized. Lineage: Eukaryota; Metazoa; Chordata; Aves; Passeriformes; Muscicapidae. The record is from RefSeq and is a predicted model, not a curated record. The transcript has 2 exons.
CCUGAUCUUGCUCUCCGUACCACGUGUUCCAAGUCCCCACCAGAGCACAAGGGUAGUGUUUUUCUUCAUGAAUCUUUGGCAGCACCUCUUGACUUGAAAACAAGGAACACACAGACACUGGGUUGCAUUGCCUUCAAGGAGGCCACAGUUGAUAAAUGUAUAACACAGCAUCAUGCUAGGAACAUUCACAAGCUUUAUUCUGCAGAGGAGAAAGCUGAAAUAUCAAAUUCUGCUAUGCAGGGAGAAGGUGGCUACACCCCCACGGAGAAUUAAGUGUGCAGAUAAAACCCAUCCUCAACCUGGCAGCUGCAGUGGGAAUGCCAACAUUCCACCUCUCCCUGCAGGGAUCAGAACUUUAAGAAUACUCAGGGAAGGGAGAGAUGCCACCAAAGCUCUCAGGACAGGAAUCAUCCUCAACUACAGCUUAGGAAAUGGCAAUGCCAAGAGGGAAGUGGGGUGAACUGAGUACAGGACUUUUUCAGAGGAUCUAUUUAAUAAUAAAUCCAAAAAACCCAGAAUUUUGUCUCCUCCCCUCCACCUAACCAUGAUAUCUGCCAAUUUUCAGAUCCAAUCAACAUGUCUAAGAGGUGAAAAGAGAACUCACACACUUACCAGAGCUUGUUGUAGGCCUCUAGACAUUCAGGUUUGACAUUGUGAACUGCAACAACAACAACAGGGUGAGGUGGGCAGGGACAGAGGGAAGGAAGGUGCUGCUGACACAAAGCCACCACUCACACUGGAGUUUGUACAGGCUGCUGGUCUCUCUUUUGGCCAGGAGGUUGGAGUGGGCAUCUUUCCUGGGAUCCACUUUUCUCACAAAGAGGGAUUUUAGCCAGCUGUCCUCACGGGCACUGCGGGCAGAGGAGCCCAGCCCCCUGCAGGGAACAGGGACACAACUUCUGAGCCUCUGCAAUUGCCACCAGGCAGCAAGGUAAAUUUAAUGUAAAUUACAGUAUCACAACCUACACAUGGCUAAACUUCCCACCCAGCCUCUCCCAAAGGCAUCUCAGCCCCUUGAGACUGAUUAUUUCACUAGAUAGACUUAUCCACAUUAUCCAUGGUUAUUCCCAGCUUCUGCUGCCUUUUUAUCCUCUUUUUAACACAUUGUCUUUGCCCAGGGCUGGGUCUGGCAUGGUGUAAACAAUUAGGAGUAAGUAAGAGCAAAAAACAUGCAGCAGGAAGAGUGUGCACAGUGUAAAAGGGAAAGGAACUGCCAUAUGCUCCUGUGUUGCUUAAAAACAGUUCUACAAAAGGGAAAGGGAAAUGUCUUCCAAGAGGAAAAAUAGCAUAAAAGACUAAUUUGGGAAAAAGAGAUGAGUGGUAGGAAAUAACCAGGCAGGAAAUAUUUCAAUUGCAGAUUCUGGCAAGUGCAUUAUGUAGGGACACAGAGCCAGGCUCUCUGUACAACACCCACAUCUCCCUUGCCUCAAAACACAAGGUUUGCACUGUCCUUUCUUAUCUCAUCCAAAAUAGUGUCACCUCCCUUUACAGCAGAGCACACAGACCAAGUGAUAACUGUGUUUAAAGUGAUGUGUUAAAGGAAUUAUUCCUCUUUUCCAGAUGAUCAGGACAAGGAAUCUCAUGUAUUUAACUGAUCCUCUACAAUGUCUGACAAGCUCAAAUGUUUCUGCUUCCUUCUCUUCCUUCAAUUUGCCUUUUUCUGACAGCCCCAUAGUAGCCAGAGUGAAGAAAAUUAAUUCUGUCACAAGCUUCUCCUGAAACACUAAAAUAUUAAAUGUGGUAUUUAUACCACAUAUAUUUACUUCUCAGAUGGAAAUUUCAGCCUUUUCUUGCCUCAGAUGUCAACUUCUCAUCCUUAUUACUGAUUUGGGGAUCCAGAAGACAGUUGGAUCUACAGCCCAAAGCCUUUCUUGCAGGAAAAAAAAAUAGGGAAAGAAAAUCUCAAUUUCCUUUAGGAAAAUAUCCCCCUGGACAUACCUAUUACACAAAUGCACUUUUUACAAGAAUCCACCUUUUAAUUCCACUGUCAGAAAAGAACAUAAUGACCUGGUUCUGCCCAUGGAAGCAGGAUGGAGGAAAGUAUUUCAAAGCAAAGAAACAACUACCACAGCUGAGAUGACCUCCAGCAUGAAGAAAUAAUGUAUAAAUCCUGGUGUGUUUAUUGAAAAUGGUGCCUUCCUUGCCCUGGGCACACACACAGACAUGUGGCUGUGCUGGAAGCCAGGCAGAUAUUCCUGAGGGCAGGCAUUUGAAGGGCAUUCCAUGAUAAGGCUGCUGCUGGAGCACAGCUUUCUCUGAGCUCAAAGCACAGGGGUGAACCCAUCCCAGAAAUUCAAGUUUUGUUCUAAAAGCUUCUUCAAAUGAAGCCCUGCCUGGCUCUAGGAAGCAGAAGUCAAGCCCACUCCCAAACUGUGAACUCUCACCAUUCCCUCCCCUUUAUUAAACAAAGUUAGCAGAGUAAUAAUUAAAAAACUCAUCUACAAGGAUCACUGUUUGCAGCAAACUUUGAAGAGGAAAGAGAAAUAAUCCUGAUGCUUUUUUGGUGAACUUCAUCAGCAGCAGGAAUAAGCUGGAGCUACUGAGGUAACUCAGAAAAAUAAAUUUCUUUGCUAUUAGGAGAAUCUCAUGACUUGAAUGUUAAAGUGCACCUAAAAGUGGAGGUAUAGGUUAAUUUUCAAAACAAUGACAUGAGUAAUACUUU